UGAUGAUGGUGAGGGCAAUUUCUUAGCAUCCCCUUAAAUCUCUCCCAAGCUUGGUAGAGAUUUUCUUCUUCUUUCAGCUUGAAACUCAGAAUCUUUCUUUUCAAGCG
This 107-nucleotide small nucleolar RNA is filed under the name Capsicum annuum. RNAcentral describes it as "Plant small nucleolar RNA R71". It matches the Rfam family "Plant small nucleolar RNA R71". From Rfam's summary of the family: R71 is a member of the C/D box family of snoRNAs containing the C (UGAUGA) and D (CUGA) box motifs. Multiple nearly identical copies of this snoRNA have been identified in Arabidopsis, and it is thought to function as a 2'-O-ribose methylation guide for 18S ribosomal RNA. Lineage: Eukaryota; Viridiplantae; Streptophyta; Magnoliopsida; Solanales; Solanaceae. The record is from Rfam by way of RNAcentral.